CCUCAGCCUUAUCUUCCCCAUUCGCAGCUUCCUCUUGAAGGAGGAGCAGCCCCUUCAAAAACGAGCUGUGUGCCCGGGCUGCACCCCCACACUGCUCUCCUCCUCUGCUGUCCCCCGGGUGCCCCGAGUGCCUGGCCUGCACUGCACAGUCCCCACCCUCAUGAGAGGGCCAGGAUGGUUAGGCACGUUACUGAUGUGAGCAGUCAGAGAGAGCAGAGACCAGCGAAAGCAGAGCGGAGCUGAGGGUGGAGGCCAGAGCUCAAAGCCUCUCAAGCCAUUUCUGCAGCCGUAACUGAAACCCACAGCCUCCUCGCCUCCUCGCCGAUGUAUUUACCAGGUGUUGAAAAGGCUCCUUACCACUUGUGACUUUCUAUUUCUCUGUGCUCUAAAUUGUGGGGCAGACAAGAAUGCAGGGAAAUGCUUCAUUUUUUUUUUGUCUCUUACAAUGAUGUGAAUCCUAGGCCUGAAAUCUAGAUCCAGAUUUUUGCAUAUCCCAAACUUCAGCAAUGCGUCUAUCAGGGACAUGCUUACUUCUGAUGCUUAGUUUAGCAAAGCUGUAAAUUGGCCCAUCCGCCUUGCUAUCUCAUAGGAUAGGUUUUUAAUCCUGAACCAGAGAAGACAGCUUUGCUCUUUGGUACUUCAGGAAAAUC
RNAcentral lists this long non-coding RNA (650 nucleotides) under Struthio camelus australis. Its description in RNAcentral is "lncRNA (ENSSCUG00000013932.1)". The record is from RNAcentral. Lineage: Eukaryota; Metazoa; Chordata; Aves; Struthioniformes; Struthionidae.